AUUGAACGCUGGCGGAAUGCUUUACACAUGCAAGUCGAACGGCAGCACGGACUUCGGUCUGGUGGCGAGUGGCGAACGGGUGAGUAACAUAUCGGAACGUAUCCAAUAAUGGGGGAUAACGAGUCGAAAGAUUCGCUAAUACCGCAUACGCCCUACGGGGGAAAGAUGGGGACCUUCGCGCCUGGCGUUAAUGGAGAGGCCGCUAUCGGAUUAGCUAGUUGGUGAGGUAAAGGCUCACCAAGGCGACGAUAAGUAGCUGGUCUGAGAGGACGGCCAGCCACACUGGAACUGAGACACGGUCCAGACUCCUACGGGAGGCAGCAGUGGGGAAUUUUGGACAAUGGGUGCAAGCCUGAUCCAGCCAUUCCGCGUGAGUGAAGAAGGCCUUCGGGUUGUAAAGCUCUUUCGCAAGGGAAGAAAACUUAGCCACUAACAUUGGUUGAGGUUGACGGUACCUUGAUAAGAAGCACCGGCUAACUACGUGCCAGCAGCCGCAGUAA
This 500-nucleotide ribosomal RNA is filed under the name uncultured bacterium. RNAcentral describes it as "partial 16S ribosomal RNA". It matches the Rfam family "Bacterial small subunit ribosomal RNA", at positions 30 to 523 of the family's 1533-position model. The record is from RNAcentral.